Molecule: ribosomal RNA, 209 nt
Filed under: uncultured bacterium
Lineage: Bacteria
Description: partial 16S ribosomal RNA
Rfam family: Bacterial small subunit ribosomal RNA
Source: RNAcentral
UACGAAGGGGGCUAGCGUUGCUCGGAAUUACUGGGCGUAAAGCGCACGUAGGCGGAUAUUUAAGUCAGGGGUGAAAUCCCGGGCUCAACCCCGGAACUGCCUUUGAUACUGGGUAUCUUGAGUGUGGUAGAGGUGAGUGGAAUUGCGAGUGUAGAGGUGAAAAUUCGUAGAUAUUCGCAGGAACACCAGUGGCGAAGGCGGCUCACUGG